CAGUCGCCGCGGUAAUUCGAAGGGGGCUAGCGUUGUUCGGAUUUACUGGGCGUAAAGCGCACGUAGGCGGACUUUUAAGUCAGGGGUGAAAUCCCGGGGCUCAACCCCGGAACUGCCUUUGAUACUGGAAGUCUUGAGUAUGGUAGAGGUGAGUGGAAUUCCGAGUGUAGAGGUGAAAUUCGUAGAUAUUCGGAGGAACACCAGUGGCGAAGGCGGCUCACUGGACCAUUACUGACGCUGAGGUGCGAAAGCGUGGGGAGCAAACAGGAUUAGAUACCCCCGUAGUCCCUGUCUCUUAUAC
This 301-nucleotide ribosomal RNA is filed under the name uncultured bacterium. Its description in RNAcentral is "partial 16S ribosomal RNA". It matches the Rfam family "Bacterial small subunit ribosomal RNA", at positions 509 to 807 of the family's 1533-position model. The record is from RNAcentral.